This 500-nucleotide ribosomal RNA is filed under the name uncultured bacterium. RNAcentral's name for it is "partial 16S ribosomal RNA". It matches the Rfam family "Bacterial small subunit ribosomal RNA", at positions 30 to 523 of the family's 1533-position model. The record is from RNAcentral.
AUUGAACGCUGGCGGAAUGCUUUACACAUGCAAGUCGAACGGCAGCACGGACUUCGGUCUGGUGGCGAGUGGCGAACGGGUGAGUAACAUAUCGGAACGUAUCCAAUAAUGGGGGAUAACGAGUCGAAAGAUUCGCUAAUACCGCAUACGCCCUACGGGGGAAAGCUGGGGACCUUCGGGCCUGGCGUUAAUGGAGCGGCCGAUAUCUGAUUAGCUAGUUGGUGAGGUAAAGGCUCACCAAGGCGACGAUCAGUAGCUGGUCUGAGAUGACGACCAGCCACACUGGAACUGAGACACGGUCCAGACUCCUACGGGAGGCAGCAGUGGGGAAUUUUGGACAAUGGGCGCAAGCCUGAUCCAGCCACUCCGCGUGAGUGAAGAAGGCCUUCGGGUUGUAAAGCUCUUUCGCAAGGGAAGAAAACUUAGCCACUAACAUUGGUUGAGGUUGACGGUACCUUGAUAAGAAGCACCGGCUAACUACGUGCCAGCCGCCUCCGUAA